AACUUUCAACAACGGAUCUCUUGGUUCUGGCAUCGAUGAAGAACGCAGCGAAAUGCGAUAAGUAAUGUGAAUUGCAGAAUUCAGUGAAUCAUCGAAUCUUUGAACGCACAUUGCGCCCACCAGUAUUCUGGUGGGCAUGCCUAUUCGAGCGUAAU
Molecule: ribosomal RNA, 155 nt
Filed under: Annulohypoxylon bovei var. microspora
Lineage: Eukaryota; Fungi; Ascomycota; Sordariomycetes; Xylariales; Hypoxylaceae
Description: 5.8S ribosomal RNA
Rfam family: 5.8S ribosomal RNA
About the family: 5.8S ribosomal RNA (5.8S rRNA) is a component of the large subunit of the eukaryotic ribosome. It is transcribed by RNA polymerase I as part of the 45S precursor that also contains 18S and 28S rRNA. Functionally, it is thought that 5.8S rRNA may be involved in ribosome translocation.
Source: RNAcentral